GACGAACGCUGGCGGCGUGCCUAAUACAUGCAAGUCGAACGAACAGACCAGGAGCUUGCUCCUCUGACGUUAGCGGCGGACGGGAGAGUCACAUGUGGAUAACCUACCUAUCAGACUGGGAUAACUACGGGACACCGGAUCUAAUACCGGAUAAUAUAUUGCACCGCAUGGUUCAAUAGUGAAAGUCGGUUUUGCUGUCACUAAUAGCUGGAUCCGCGCAGCAUUAGCUAGUUGGUAAGGUAACGGCUUACCAAGGCGAGGAGGCGUAGCCGACCGAAGCGGGUGGUCGCCCACAUGGGAUGAGAGACAGGGUCCAGACUCCUGCGGUGAGCAGCAGUCGGGAAUCGUCCGCAAUGGGGGAGAGCCUGACAGAGCAACGCGGCGUGAGUGAUGAAGGUCUUCGGAUCGGAAAGCUCUGUUAGUAGGGGAGAACAAAUGUGUAAUUAACCGUGCAGGUCUUGACGGUACCGGGUCAAAAAGCCACGGCUAACUACGUG
RNAcentral lists this ribosomal RNA (497 nucleotides) under uncultured bacterium. RNAcentral describes it as "partial 16S ribosomal RNA". It matches the Rfam family "Bacterial small subunit ribosomal RNA", at positions 28 to 507 of the family's 1533-position model. The record is from RNAcentral.